Long non-coding RNA from Physella acuta, 221 nucleotides. RefSeq lists it as uncharacterized. NCBI's taxonomy places the organism in Eukaryota, Metazoa, Mollusca, Gastropoda, Physidae. The record is from RefSeq and is a predicted model, not a curated record.
GCAGCCUCAACUGAUAUAAAAAUGGAAAUAAAGCUGUGCCUCUUACUUCUCUUGGCAUUAACUGAACUCUCCCUUGGGUGUGGCUCCCCUCGCUCACCACCUCCAACAAAGAUCUCUUGUCAAACUCCCAAUGAUUGUCCACCGGGUUUAACUCUCUGCCAACGGAGAUCGAAAAGUCAGGAUAGCAAGAAAUGUUACAGUGCUUCGGAUAGUUCAAGACC